CAUGCAAGUCGAACGGUAACGCGGGGCAACCUGGCGACGAGUGGCGAACGGGUGAGUAAUGCAUCGGAACGUGCCCAGAAGUGGGGGAUAGCCCGGCGAAAGCCGGAUUAAUACCGCAUGAGACCUGAGGGUGAAAGCGGGGGAUCGCAAGACCUCGCGCUUUUGGAGCGGCCGAUGUCAGAUUAGGUAGUUGGUGGGGUAAAGGCCUACCAAGCCGACGAUCUGUAGCUGGUCUGAGAGGACGACCAGCCACACUGGGACUGAGACACGGCCCAGACUCCUACGGGAGGCAGCAGUGGGGAAUUUUGGACAAUGGGCGCAAGCCUGAUCCAGCCAUGCCGCGUGCGGGAAGAAGGCCUUCGGGUUGUAAAGCACUUUUGUUCGGGAAGAAAUCGUGCGGGCUAAUACCCAGUACGGAUGACGGUACCGAAAGAAUAAGCACCGGCUAACUUCGUGCCAGCAGCCGCGGUAAUACGAAGGGUGCAAGCGUUACUCGGAAUCACUGGGCGUAAAGCGUGCGUAGGCGGUUGGUUAAGUCUGCUGUGAAAGCCCUGGGCUCAACCUGGGAACUGCAGUGGAUACUGGCUAGCUAGAGUGUGAUAGAGGAUGGUGGAAUUCCCGGUGUAGCGGUGAAAUGCGUAGAGAUCGGGAGGAACACCAGUGGCGAAGGCGGCCAUCUGGAUCAACACUGACGCUGAGG
Molecule: ribosomal RNA, 700 nt
Filed under: uncultured bacterium
Lineage: Bacteria
Description: bacterial SSU rRNA
Rfam family: Bacterial small subunit ribosomal RNA
Source: RNAcentral